This is a non-coding RNA of Pelobates cultripes (western spadefoot toad), 309 nucleotides long. The record is from the annotation of a GenBank genome assembly. NCBI's taxonomy places the organism in Eukaryota, Metazoa, Chordata, Amphibia, Anura, Pelobatidae.
CUCAUUAUUGACAUUUCCCAUACCAUAUCACCCGCUUAGGACAAAUGCACAUUGUCAGAACAAUUCUUAUUACAGCCAGGAUAUAGGAUGGCGUGACUGAUUCUCCAUUUUAAUACCAUUACUCAAAGGACAGGAGACAAAAUGCAGUCAAUUACUUUGAACCAAAUACACACAAACCAUCAGCUCAUUGUGUUUUCUUAUUGAUGAGUGUUGCUGCAAUACCUGGAUUGUUUGAAUGAACAAACAGAUGCAUUGUCCAGAACUCAAAAAUUUUCCAACUCAAACAUCUUCAAUAAACAGCAUUUGCUG